UGUGUUGUACUGACUAACGAACUCUGCUCCCCUAGAGUCGACCUGAAGGAUGUUCCAUUGGAAAACCCAGAUCUGAUCCUCUUUGUGGACGGGUCAGCGUCACAUGACCCAGAGACAGCAGGUAAAGGCAGCACUUCCAGCUCCAGCCACGGGUCCACCGCAUGAUCUGAAGCCCAGAGAGUGGAUCGUGAUCAAGGACUUCCGCAGGACCAGGUGGAACGAGCCACGGUGGUCGGGGCCAUUCUAGAUUGUUUUCGUCACUCGCUCCGUGGUAAAGGUCAACCAGAGAGCCACAUGGAUGCGUGCCAGCCACUGUAGGAGGACGCCAGAGCCAAGCAUUGAGCUGGAGAGGACGGGACUCCGACAGGAGGACUAGAAAGUGAUUCUCUAUCAAGAGGCCUCUAGGAGGACCUACGCUCACGAGCAACGAUCUGCAUAUACACACCCACACAACGUCACAUGUCCCUGCAUCACACAGACACAUAAUAAUUAUUCUAUCAUUGAACACAUGCGGUCUGCGAUAUGCAACCCUCCGCAGACUAGCGAGACGGGGUUUGAUUGGCUGAACUCAGUACUCGGGGGAUGGGGCUCGUGGAUAUUAACCGUCUGUCUACCAAUAGGUGCAAUAAUUCUUCUUGUCUUGCUCAUUUUGCCUUGUAUUGUUUCUCUCGUUCGGAGCAGUCUCUCACUCUCGUUGAAAUCACUAAUGACCAAACACUGAUGGUGACAAAGACUGAUUACUAUCCCUAUGAUAACCAACCUGACUUGUAUCCUAAUCCUGACUGGGCAUCAGAUUCUCCCAGCAACACUGAUGAUGACGACCCGUUGACAUCCAUUUCACGACCCAUUGACAUCCAUUUCACACUUAUUGUAAAUAUUCUUUUGGCCAUGACGACUCUCAUUUCACCUUAAAUGAGCUUGUUUGACUACAGGAUACUUUAUAUCCGCUAAAAAACCCUUAGCGCCUUCAUUAUGUCUGUUUUAUGAUGAAUUCAGUUGAACCAUGAAAGGAUUCUGAAGUUCUGAUGUACUCACAGCAUUGUAAUUUCUCUGUUAAUUUUAGUUAUCAUAUUUUGUAAUGAUAAAAUGGGGGAAAUAUGAGGGAAAUUACUCAUUUUUACUUUGUAAUAGUUUUGUUCUUUUUCUAUUUCAUUCUCAUCAGAGGAUAAUGCCUAAGAAGGCCAUGUCAUGUCACUGAGAUCAGUACAGAAUGUUUAUCUGCUUACAGAGACACAAACAUCUUCUUCUGUUCGAGGUCCGUCUGUCCAAUAUCCUAAAACAAAGCCUGUUUGAACUGCCUCAAACUGCUUCUUAUCGGUACACAGAAUUAUGUCAUGCUCUGCGUUUCAUAUAUAUAGUAGUAGUUUAGUACAAGGGCUUCAGAGCGCUCUCAUUAUUCUAUCCUGCUUUAUUCUAUCCUGUAUUAACCAUCUUUCUGUAAUAAACCUUUUUACCUUCA
Ictalurus punctatus (channel catfish) is the source of this 1459-nucleotide long non-coding RNA. RefSeq lists it as uncharacterized. The record is from RefSeq and is a predicted model, not a curated record. NCBI's taxonomy places the organism in Eukaryota, Metazoa, Chordata, Actinopteri, Siluriformes, Ictaluridae. The transcript has 2 exons.